GCAAAAACCCUUUGCAACCCACCUGACAACUGGGCUUUUAUUUACUAAGCGAAUCCAGAGCAACUUUGGACAAUUUCUGUGCUUUAUUAUCUGCGCUAAUUUAGUUGUCAUGUUUUUUUCUGAGGAAAACUGACAGGGACGAUCCCACUUGAAAUAACAAUAAUUGGGGACAAUUAUAUUCAUAUUACAUGACAAAAAAAAAUAGUUUAUUUAUGGAGAAGUUAUACAUUGCCAAACAAAGAUUAGAAUUACAUAUUUAGAUAAUUAAAUUUAAUGCCAAUAUUAUUAGAUUCCAUGCAAUAAAAAAAAUGUACAUGCAAUAUAUUUGCGCCCAAUUUAAUUAAAUAUUAUCACUUUUUUUUUAAAUCAGCAUUUUAUUAAAAUUCAAAUAAACUGAUGUGGAAUUAAUUUAAUAAUCUAGAUAGGUUGGCAAUUGAUGCCAUAUGGUGUUCACACCCUGUGAAUGUUGAUUUUUGUAUUGUAAUUAUUGCCGAUUAAUCGCAUCCAAAAUAAAAGUUUUUGUUUACAUAAUAAAACACUUGUUUGGAUGCAAUUAAUCAUUUCAUCACCUCACAGAUCACUGUUUUAAGAUUAAUAGCCAGCAAUAUCAAAAUACUCCGGAUGGUUAGACAUCGGACAGAAUUACGAAAUGUUUCUCGACAGCAUUUAACCGGGAAAACUACAUACAGCUGAAGAGUUAAACUACACAGAUUGCAAAUGCUCACAGGUUUGAGUGGGAUCCCUAGCCCUGGAGAAUCUCUGCGUUUCUACUUAGCCAGGUUUUUGAAGAACAGCUGGAAGGAGUUCCUCUUCUCCAGCUUGUGGGCAUGUUUGGGGAGGCGUUCUCUGUGCUUUCGGCUGAUUUGUUGUCCGGGGUCGCUUGCGGUGACUCUUCUUUGGCCUUCGCAGGUGGAGCAGCUUCUGCCGCAGGAGGAGCAGCUGGAGUCUCCUUCUUGGGCUCUGCUUGGGUUUAAACAUGCUUCCAAAAGUGGAUUUCUUCUCUGGUUUCUUCUCCUCUGGUUUUGGUGCUGGAGGAUCUUCAGGUUUUGCAGCGGCCUCGAGAGUGCUGCUCUUAGACGCGUCGACCUGAUGUGUCAGAGAAAGAUCAGAGAAGACUCUGUGUGAGAUAUACACAGAACAGUGAUUGACUGAAGAAGACGCUCAGUCUCUCUUUCCCUCUCCUUUGCUCUAGUUUGCAACCCUGUUAACAAAAUUAAUUGUUAAGUUGCAUGUAAACCCAUAUGGCAUAAAUAUUUGCUAUAUAUAUGUUGCAAAGAUCAAUGAAAUAUAUUUUUAAAAUAUAAAAUAUAUUUCGUUUUUUAUUUCAUAUAUUUAUAUAUUUCUAAAAUAUAUUUCUAAAUUUAUUUUGGAGCAAGAAAAUACAUUUCCAGUCUCACAGAAGUCUACAUUUAGGCUAAAUACAAAGGUGGAUGGUCUUCUAGAGUUUAAAAAGAAAAUGUUUAUUAUUUAUUAAUAAUGUUUAAUAUUUUAUAUAUAUUGCAAUAUUGCAUUUUUUGGAGCGUUUUAAAUUAUUUUGCUCGCUGAUUUUUAUUCAAAUGUUUUAAAUGUUUGCAUGUGUUAACAGAUUCAGCUUUUCUUCAAAUGUAAAUGCAUUUUUAACAUGCAAAAAAUAUAUAAAACAUGCAAAAAAUGGCCAAUAUCUUGGUUAAAAAUAUAUUUACGUUUAGAUUUUUUAAAAUAUUUAAAAAUAUAAUUGAAUAUAUGUUACAAGUAAAAUAAACCCAUAAACUUGUUUGAAUGGUUCAUCUUUAUGAAAACAAUCAAAACCAUAAUUUGUGUGAAAAUUUACACUCCACCAAGGUUCGGACACUGUCACAUAAUUAAAAUAUUUGAUAGAUAUUAACAAAAAAUUAAAAGACAAAUGAUCAUGCUACGUUAGAGUAUAGUUCAUCCGAUAUAUCUUCAGUAAUGCAACACUGUUUUAUAACCUGUUCAUAGAAAGUGCCAUGCACAGAAGUGUAAAUAGUAGAUGAAUGGUUUUAUUCAGGAAGACAGUCCCACCACCGUGAAGCCCACAAAGAGACAAUCGAUCAGCUGAAUGUAUUUACCUGCACCUCAACCGGCUUUUUCUCUUCCACCACAACAGGCUGCAGGCAAGCACAUAUUGGCAUUAAAUUUUGCAAUAAUCUACAAUUCCUACGGCACUUUACGCUGGCCAUUUAUUCUAGCAGGGACAAAUACUAAGUCACCGGUUACACAAAGCCUUUACAAGAGCCUCCAGUCGCUGAAUAAAUCUGAUGUCAGUUAUGAAUCGGUGAGUCACAUGGUUUGUCUGGCAGCUGUGAUGUCAUGAUAUCACCAUAAUGGACCUUCACUGAUUCAUUCAUUAUUUCCAAUGAGUUUUCCACUAAUUAAAUAAAUGCUACAUGGUAUAAUGCCUUUGUGUGAAAACACUGCAAAGACUGGGUAGAAAUAUGUAAUCUGAUUCUGCAGUAAAUGCUGCUCCACAUAAACUGUGAGUUUAAAUGCAACAUGCAUAAAAAAUCUUCCCAAACUCGUAAUGACAAUGGUUUAUAAAUACGUUGUUAACGAAAGAAAUGCAUUUCAAAAGAAACAUUUCUCUGCUGUUUUCCACCAAAAUAAAAGCCCUAUGGUUUAACAUUGGAAAGCAAACAAAAAAACAACAACAAAAAAAAGGUAACACUUUAGUAUAGGUUCCAAUUCACACUAAUAACUAGUUGCUUAUUAGCAUGUCUAUUAUUAGCAUAUUGGUUGUUUAUUAGUGCUUAUAAAGUACAUAUAAUGCAUGACAUCCAUAAUCCUACCCAAUACCCUAAACUUAACAACUACCUUAUAAACUAUUAAUAAGCAGCAGAUAAGGGGUUAAUUGAGGCAAAAGUCAUAGUUAAUGGUUAGUUAAUAGUGAGAAUUGGACCCUAAAAUAAAGUGUGACCAAAAAAAACAUAAAUAGUAGUACUGCUUAGGGUUUAUAAUGCUUUUGAAUGCUUGAAAUUCAAUGUAGUGUAUUUUACUUAUUAACUUCACUUUUUAGAUGAAAUAAGCCUAAUUGCUUUCGCCGUUUAUAUGAAACGAGAACAACUCGUGUGUGGCUGUGGUGUAAUCUGUCAGUCUUUUUUGAAGGGAGAUAAAAACAUAUCGGGAGGUUCCUGCUUCAGUCAGUGUUGCCACCAAUGCCCUCCAAAUUCAAGAUAAGGGUGCAGGGUUGCCCCAGCUCAGUAAACUAAAUCUAAGAAGGCUGUCGUUAUUAAGUUAAAUGUAAACAUGAAUGAAGAUGUUGACUGUGGCAUUACAUUUUGAUCUGCUGACGGUUUUUUUUUUUUUUUUUAGCGCUGAGCAUUAGAACCAGUCACAUGUUUUUUAUUUCUAUUGAAAAAAAAAUGGUUUAUAGGCUGAAAUGGGGAAAUUAUAAUUUUAUAACUCUUUUUGUUGUGGUGAAAACCGGUCUCUGAACUGUACAUCCUGCUUUUCUGCAGUCAUUUCACAGUUUAAUAUGCUACCAUAGACAUUGCCCUGCCCCCCUUAUACAAUAUUCAUUUUAUUUGUUUUAAAAUGAUCUUAAAAGCCUUACAUUUGAGGGUAACACUUAAGUAUAGGGUCCAAUUCACACUAAUAACUAGUUUCUUAUUAGCAUGUCUAUUAUUAACAUAUUGGCUGUUUAUUAGUGCUUAUAAAGUACAUAUAAUGCAUGACAUCCAUAAUCCUACCCAAUACCCUAAACUUAACAACUACCUUAUAAACUAUUAAUAAGCAGCAAAUAAGGAGUCAUAGUUAAUGGUUAGUUAAUAGUGAGAAUUGGACCCUAAAAUAAAGUGUGACCGAUUUGGGUUAAAAAAUCCUACAGAUACCCUGUAUUACAAUAUCAAGAGCGAUCAAAAAAUAAUGAUUAUCUCAUAAUAUUGCAGCGCUAUCCUAUGAUAAAAUCUUUCUUUUUUUAAUUAUAUAUUUUAUGUUGGCUAUUUAGAUUAUGCAAUGUUAUAUGCAAUUCAGACAGGUAAUACAUUCUGAACCAUAAAAGUGCUGAAAAAGCUUGAAAAUGCACAUUUUAAUCAAUACUUCUUUUAAUAAUAAUUAUUAUUAUUAUUUACGUUAAAAU
Molecule: long non-coding RNA, 4075 nt
Organism: Carassius auratus (goldfish)
Lineage: Eukaryota; Metazoa; Chordata; Actinopteri; Cypriniformes; Cyprinidae
Source: Ensembl